AACAAAGAAGUAAUAUAUUACAUUUAGUUUCGACCUAAAAUUAGAGUUAAUCUCCAUGUUU
This 61-nucleotide transfer RNA is filed under the name Fieberiella septentrionalis. RNAcentral's name for it is "tRNA-Arg". The record is from RNAcentral. Lineage: Eukaryota; Metazoa; Arthropoda; Insecta; Hemiptera; Cicadellidae.